RNAcentral lists this unclassified non-coding RNA (445 nucleotides) under Hevea brasiliensis (rubber tree). The record is from RNAcentral. Lineage: Eukaryota; Viridiplantae; Streptophyta; Magnoliopsida; Malpighiales; Euphorbiaceae.
AGGAUCUAGGCUCUGGAAUUCCUCUCGUGUGAUCUAAGUAGCAUCAGAAUCAGGACGGUCUUGCCGCUUGGACAAGAAAUCUGUAAAAUCUAUGUUGUGAGGAAGUAACAAACUCAUCAUCAAGCACUGUGUCAAUGUUAUCUUUAGGCUGAGGAAGUGGUGUCGACUUUGGCACAAGCUGACCUGCAGAAACACUAGAAGGAAAAAUAGGAGGCUCAAAAGUGGAGCUAUAGGUGACAAGUCCUCCAUAUUGAAAAUAGGACUACUAUUUAUAUCUUUAGGUAACUCAAGUAAAUAUGCAUUAGAUGCAAGUUUUUGCACAAUGGAAAAAGGGCCAAUGGCUCAAGUAUGAAGUUUUUUUGGAGAAUUUUAAAGAAAAUUUUCAAGGCAAAUACGAACUAUGACAUAAUCACUAACAUCAAAUUCUUUAUUCCUACGAUGCACA